GGAAAAGGGGGCUAAUACCGGAUAGAUACAGUGUACGGUGGUAUGUUGUAGAAAGCUACUGCGCUUUGAGAUGGGACUGCGGCCCAUCAGCUACUUGGUAGGGUAACGGUCUACCAACGUAAAGACGGGUAAGGGGUGUGAGAGCUCUGCCCCCCACUAUGGGAGUGGAACACAGUCCAUACUCCUACGGGAUGGCUCAGGAUGGAAUAUUGCACAAUGGGCUAAAGCCUGACACAGCGACGCCGCGUGAGUGACGACGGCUUACGAGUUGUAAAACUCUUUUCUGGGGGAUGAGGAAGGACGGUACCCGAGGAAUAAGCGUCGGCUAACUAGGUGCCAGCAUUCGCGGUAAGACGUAGGACGCGAGCGUUAUCCGGAUUUACUGGGCGUAAAGCGCCUGUAUAGCGGCUUUGUAAGUUGGGCGUGAAAGGCCCGUGCUUAAUGCGUUGGAGGUCGUACAAUAGUGCGGAUCUAGAGUACGGCAGAUGGUAGUGGAAUUCGUGGAGUAGCGGUAAAAUGUGCAGAUAUCAGGAGGAACACCAGUGUCGAGGGCGGAUCCCUGGGCCGAGACUGACGGUCAGAGGCGAUAGCUAGGGGAUCGAACAGGAUUAGGAGACCC
This 619-nucleotide ribosomal RNA is filed under the name uncultured organism. RNAcentral describes it as "bacterial SSU rRNA". It matches the Rfam family "Bacterial small subunit ribosomal RNA", at positions 152 to 787 of the family's 1533-position model. The record is from RNAcentral.